Molecule: RNA transcript, 2365 nt
Organism: Juglans regia (Persian walnut)
Lineage: Eukaryota; Viridiplantae; Streptophyta; Magnoliopsida; Fagales; Juglandaceae
Gene name: tetratricopeptide repeat protein 37
Exons: 13
Source: RefSeq, a predicted model, not a curated record
CCGAAUCCAAACGAGUUUGGACACAGAAAUUCAAUACAGAAUACCUAACGCACGAAACCCGGGCAUGGCCUUUUUUUUAUUUCCCUGAGCUUUUACAUGUGUGCUUCGUGAAAAGGCAUUGAGAGGAAAGAAAAAUGUCGGAAUCCCGCCCAGUGACUGUAAAACCAGAAAUCGGAACAGCAGAGAGCUCCGUAGAAGAGAACUCGAACUCGAACUCGAACUCGAAGAGACCUCCUAAGUUUGUCGUUCUAGCCGACCUCAACGUCGACCCUCCUGAAGCCGACGAGGACGAUUCCAUCCACGUUUCCGCCCCUGACCUCACCAGGUUGGCUAAUGGCGAGAGCAGUCAAGAUAAGUGUACGGUAAUGUGCAAUGACAGUGAGGCCAUGGAAGGUGAGGUUAAACGUUCAAACAAAUUGGGUAAAUGUCGUUCAAGAAAUAAUAAGGCAGAUUGCUCUCUUGAUUGUGGAGGGGAUGCUGAUGGUGAUCAGCAUGGUCAAGGGGUUCCUUCUUCACGUGAGGAAAAAGUUAGCAGCCUUAAAACCGGGUUAGUUCAUGUUGCAAGGAAGAUGCCCAAAAAUGCUCAUGCUCAUUUCAUACUUGGCCUUAUGUACCAAAGGUUGGGUCAACCUCAGAAGGCAGUUUCGGCAUAUGAGAAGGCAACGGAGAUCUUGCUCCGCCCUGAGGCAGAGAUCGAUAGGCCAGAUCUUCUUUCAUUGGUUCAAAUUCAUCAUGCACAGUGUUUAAUAGUAGAAAGUUCAGUGGAUAGCAAUUCAGAUAAAGAAAUUGAACCCAAAGAGCUUGAGGAGAUUCUUUCUAAACUGAAAGAAUCAAUGCAAUCAGAUAUUAGACAGGCCGCUUUAUGGAAUUCCCUAGGCUUGAUACUUCUGAAAAGUGGUCGUCUACAGAGUGCUAUUACGAUUCUAUCAUCUUUGUUGGCAGUUGCCCCUGACAAUUAUGAUUGCCUUGGAAACCUUGGUAUUGCUUACCUUCAAAAUGGAAACUUGGAUCUAUCAGAAAAAUGUUUUCAGCAGUUACUCCUAAAGGAUCAAAAUCAUCCUGCUGCCUUAAUAAACUAUGCUGCCCUUAUUUUAUGUAAAUAUGGAUCGGUUGUAGCAGGUGCUGGCGCAAAUGCUGGUGAAGGUGCGUCCUUAGAGCAGGUUACAGCUGUCAAUGUUGCAAAGGAGUGUUUGCUAGCAGCAUUAAAAAUAGAUCCAAAAGCUGCACAUAUAUGGGCAAACCUUGCCAAUGCAUAUUUUGUGAUGGGUGAUCAUAGAAGUUCUGGCAAGUGCUUGGAGAAGGCAGCAAAGUUGGAGCCCAAUUGCAUGUCUACGCGAUAUGCUGUUGCAGUUCACCGAAUUAAGGAUGCAGAAAGGUCUCAAGAUCCUAGUGAACAGCUUUCUUGGGCUGGAAAUGAGAUGGCUUCUAUAAUAAGAGAUGGAGAUUCUGUUCUGCUUGAUCUUCCAGUGGCAUGGGCAGGGCUUGCCAUGGUUCACAAAGCACAACAUGAGAUUACUGCUGCAUUUGAAACUAAGCAGACUGAGUUGUCGGAGGUGAAAGAUCGUGCUGUUAACAGCCUAAAGCAGGCCAUUGCAGAGGAUCCAGAUGAUGCUGUGCAGUGGCACCAGCUUGGCCUUCAUAACCUCUGCACUCGACAAUUUAAAGCAUCACAGAAGUACCUGAAAGCUGCAGUAGCACGUUUUAAAGAGUGCGGCUGUGCAUGGUCUAACCUUGGUAUCUCACUUCAACUAUUAGAGGAGCCAUCACAAGCUGAAGCAGUGUACAAGCGGGCCUUGGCAUUGGCAACAACAGAGCAAGCUCAUGCUAUAUUUUCCAACCUUGGGAAUCUGUACCGCCAGCAAAAACAAUAUGAGCGUGCAAAAGCGAUGUUUACGAAGUCACUUGAACUGCAGCCUGGUUAUGCUCCUGCAUUCAACAACUUGGGUCUCGUGUUUGUUGCAGAGGGUCGCUGGGAGGAAGCGAAAUAUUGUUUCGAAAAAGCUUUCCAGGCAGACCCAUUGCUAGAUGUAGCCAAGUCCAACAUGGUUAAAGCAGGGUCCAUGUCAAGAUUGUGUGAUGGCUUGUCGUUAUGUCAUAUUCAAGAUUAAUUAUCUACUCGAUUAGGGUAUCGAAGGGAAAGGAUGUGAACAGACAAUUUUGAAGUUUCAGAGAAACUGAAAGAUAGAAUUGUUGCAUGUGAGAUGCAUGGACGAGAAAUUGAAUUAGAAGGAUUCUAAGGCAGCGAUCAUUACCCUGUUACGCUUGAGCUAGAAGUCGGUGAAUGUAUUAAAUGGAAAUCUGUAAUAUUUGUAGCAAAGCACCAAUUACAUCUGCACUUGGAAAAUCAAUUGGGAUUAGUGGUUAA